Molecule: ribosomal RNA, 336 nt
Filed under: Triticum aestivum (bread wheat)
Lineage: Eukaryota; Viridiplantae; Streptophyta; Magnoliopsida; Poales; Poaceae
Description: partial small subunit ribosomal RNA
Source: RNAcentral
AUGACUUUUGAUUCUUGGUUCUUGAGGUGGUAUAUUACUCUGAAGCACUUCAAUUCUUGGCUCUGGCUAAGCAUAAUAUAUUACUUUAUUACUGAGAUUUGGCUACUAAUGAUAUAUGUUACCAUUGUUUUUGUUGUCUUUGAUAGUAUAAAAGAUCGGAAGUGCAUCAGCUAUCACUGCUCCUGUUUGUUGUAUGGGUUUCACAUCGUUGUCAAUUUUGAUGUGUUUCACGGGAUGAAUGAUGCGUCAGAUUCUUCUAAAACUGCCACUAUUCAGUAUGUAUCCGUCGCAACCCUAAGUUAUGUCUGUCAUGCAUUCAUUAUCUUUAUUUUUUGA